Molecule: ribosomal RNA, 519 nt
Filed under: uncultured eukaryote
Lineage: Eukaryota
Description: SSU rRNA
Rfam family: Eukaryotic small subunit ribosomal RNA
Source: RNAcentral
AGGGCACCACCAGGAGUGGAGCCUGCGGCUUAAUUUGACUCAACACGGGAAAUCUCACCAGGCCCGGACACCGGAAGGAUUGACAGAUUGAGAGCUCUUUCUUGAUUCGGUGGGUGGUGGUGCAUGGCCGUUCUUAGUUGGUGGAGCGAUUUGUCUGGUUAAUUCCGAUAACGAACGAGACUCUGGCCUACUAAAUAGACGUUAGAUCCCUUUGUGGGUCUAUCGCAGCUUCUUAGAGGGACGGGCGGCGUUCAGCCGCACGAGAUUGAGCAAUAACAGGUCUGUGAUGCCCUUAGAUGUUCUGGGCUGCACGCGCGCUACACUGAAGGAAUCAGCGUGUGUUCCCUGCCCGAAAGGACUGGGAAACCCGUUGAACCUCCUUCGUGAUGGGGAUUGGGGAUUGCAAUUAUUCCCCAUGAACGAGGAAUUCCCAGUAGGCGCGAGUCAUAAGCUUGCGUCGAUUACGUCCCUGCCCUUUGCACACACCGCCCGUCGCUACUACCGAUCGAGUGAUUUAGU